GAGAUCGUGGAGAGAAUAAGCAGAUGCAGGAAUGUGUUGAAUGCCACAUGACAGCCUCCAGUUAGAUCCUUCCAUAAGUAAGACUCAAAUGAAAGCCAGGUGUCAAAGCUAUGGAGCCCAUGUGGAUCAUAGGAGUCAACUACUAGGACACAGUUCAGAACAGAAAACGGGUCAGAGGUUCCUCCUCUCUGAGCUAUGUUUCCAUGGCAGAGUGAGCCACCAAGCACCAGACCCUUUGAGGACUGCCAUCAACGACAAAUGUUCUUUUAUAGAACACAGCUCCAGAGAGGUGACAUACAGAGUGUGGCAUACACAUGGUGAACAACCUGGAAAGAAGAAGGAAGGGCUGUGGUGGGGAGGGAACUCUUGUUUUUCUCCAGCUGAUUGA
RNAcentral lists this long non-coding RNA (388 nucleotides) under Mus spicilegus (steppe mouse). Its description in RNAcentral is "lncRNA (ENSMSIG00000031113.1)". Lineage: Eukaryota; Metazoa; Chordata; Mammalia; Rodentia; Muridae. The record is from RNAcentral.